This 320-nucleotide long non-coding RNA is filed under the name Struthio camelus australis. RNAcentral describes it as "lncRNA (ENSSCUG00000007046.1)". Lineage: Eukaryota; Metazoa; Chordata; Aves; Struthioniformes; Struthionidae. The record is from RNAcentral.
GGAGGUCCGGCGGAGCGUCGUCUUUGCCUCCCUGGCGUGUAAUUGUGACUGCAAAAUUUCAUCGCAAAAAGAGUCAUAGCAAAAUUCCAUCGCUGCAGAGGCUUUGUGGAAAGCAAAAAGAUACAAGGAAAACCCUCUUACCAUGUGGGAUUUUGAGAGCAGUCCUUAAUGCAACCUUGGGACACGCUGGCAGUGACAAGUCUUCGUGCCUGGAUAUUUUGGCUGCAGGGGAAGAUCCACACAGGCCGUGUGGCAACAUUUUGAAAGACAAGAGCUCCAGAGCCUGCCAGCUUUUAAUGCAUCUCUGGAUAUGUGGGUGA